CCUACGGGAGGCAGCAGUGAGGAAUAUUGGUCAAUGGACGAGAGUCUGAACCAGCCAAGUCGCGUGAAGGAAGACGGCCCUACGGGUUGUAAACUUCUUUUGUAAGGGAAUAAAUAGUCUUACGCGCUAAGACGUUGCAGGUACCUUACGAAUAAGGAUCGGCUAACUCCGUGCCAGCAGCCGCGGUAAUACGGAGGAUCCGAGCGUUAUCCGGAUUUAUUGGGUUUAAAGGGUGCGCAGGCGGCAUGUUAAGUCGGCGGUGAAAUUUUGCAGCUCAACUGUAAAAGAGCCUUCGAAACUGGCAAGCUUGAGUGUGGAUGAAGUAGGCGGAAUUUGUGGUGUAGCGGUGAAAUGCAUAGAUAUCACAAAGAACACCGAUUGCGCAGGCAGCUUACUAAACCAUAACUGACGCUCAUGCACGAAGGCGUGGGGAUCAAACAGGAUUAGAUACCCUGGUAGUCCACGCAGUAAACGAUGAUUACUGGCUGUUUGCGAUACAAUGUAAGCGGCUGAGCGAAAGCGUUAAGUAAUCCACCUGGGGAGUACGUUCGCAAGAAUGAAACUCAAAUGAAUUGACGG
RNAcentral lists this ribosomal RNA (579 nucleotides) under uncultured bacterium. Its description in RNAcentral is "bacterial SSU rRNA". It matches the Rfam family "Bacterial small subunit ribosomal RNA", at positions 338 to 916 of the family's 1533-position model. The record is from RNAcentral.